Molecule: ribosomal RNA, 406 nt
Filed under: uncultured bacterium
Lineage: Bacteria
Description: partial 16S ribosomal RNA
Rfam family: Bacterial small subunit ribosomal RNA
Source: RNAcentral
AUUGAACGCUGGCGGCAGGCCUAACACAUGCAAGUCGAACGAGUGGCGGACGGGUGAGUAAUGUCUGGGAAACUGCCCGAUGGAGGGGGAUAACUACUGGAAACGGUAGCUAAUACCGCAUACCAUCGGAUGUGCCCAGAUGGGAGUAGCUUGGAGGUGAGGUAACGGCGCACCUAGGCGACGAUCCCUAGCUGGUCUGAGAGGAUGACCAGCCACACUGGGACGGAGACACGUGCCAGACGCCUAAGGGAGGAAGCAGUUGGGAAUAUGGGACAAGGGGCGCAAGGCUGAUGCAGCCAUGCCGCGUGUAUGAAGAAGGCCUUCGGGUUGUAAAGUACUUUCAGCGGGGAGGCGUUACCCGCAGAAGAAGCACCGGCUAACUCCGUGCCAGCAGCCGCGGUAAUAC